GACGAACGCUGGCGGCGUGCUUAACACAUGCAAGUCGAACGGAAAGGCCCUGCUUUUGUGGGGUGCUCGAGUGGCGAACGGGUGGGUAACACGUGAGUAACCUGCCCUUGACUUUGGGAUAACUUCAGGAAACUGGGGCUAAUACCGGAUAGGAGCUCCUGCUGCAUGGUGGGGGUUGGAAAGUUUCGGCGGUUGGGGAUGGACUCGCGGCUUAUCAGCUUGUUGGUGGGGUAGUGGCUUACCAAGGCUUUGACGGGUAGCCGGCCUGAGAGGGUGACCGGCCACAUUGGGACUGAGAUACGGCCCAGACUCCUACGGGAGGCAGCAGUGGGGAAUAUUGCACAAUGGGCGGAAGCCUGAUGCAGCAACGCCGCGUGCGGGAUGACGGCCUUCGGGUUGUAAACCGCUUUCGCCUGUGACGAAGCGUGAGUGACGGUAAUGGGUAAAGAAGCACCGGCUAACUACGUGCCAGCAGCCGCGGUGAUACGUAGGGUGCGAGCGUUGUCCGGAUUUAUUGGGCGUAAAGGGCUCGUAGGUGGUUGAUCGCGUCGGAAGUGUAAUCUUGGGGCUUAACCCUGAGCGUGCUUUCGAUACGGGUUGACUUGAGGAAGGUAGGGGGGAAUGGAAUUCCUGGUGGAGCGGUGGAAUGCGCAGAUAUCAGGAGGAACACCAGUGGCGAAGGCGGUUCUCUGGGCCUUUCCUGACGCUGAGGAGCGAAAGCGUGGGGAGCGAACAGGCUUAGAUACCCUGGUAGUCCACGCUGUAAACGGUGGGUACUAGGUGUGGGGUCCAUUCCACGGGUUCCGUGCCGUAGCUAACGCUUUAAGUACCCCGCCUGGGGAGUACGGCCGCAAGGCUAAAACUCAAAGGAAUUGACGGGGCCCCGCACAAGCGGCGGAGCAUGCGGAUUAAUUCGAUGCAACGCGUAGAACCUUACCUGGGUUUGACAUGGAUCGGGAGUGCUCAGAGAUGGGUGUGCCUCUUUUGGGGUCGGUUCACAGGUGGUGCAUGGCUGUCGUCAGCUCGUGUCGUGAGAUGUUGGGUUAAGUCCCGCAACGAGCGCAACCCUUGUUCACUGUUGCCAGCACGUUAUGGUGGGGACUCAGUGGAGACCGCCGGGGUCAACUCGGAGGAAGGUGGGGAUGACGUCAAGUCAUCAUGCCCCUUAUGUCCAGGGCUUCACGCAUGCUACAAUGGCUGGUACAGAGAGUGGCGAGCCUGUGAGGGUGAGCGAAUCUCGGAAAGCCGGUCUCAGUUCGGAUUGGGGUCUGCAACUCGACCUCAUGAAGUCGGAGUCGCUAGUAAUCGCAGAUCAGCAACGCUGCGGUGAAUACGUUCCCGGGGCU
RNAcentral lists this ribosomal RNA (1346 nucleotides) under uncultured bacterium. RNAcentral describes it as "partial 16S ribosomal RNA". It matches the Rfam family "Bacterial small subunit ribosomal RNA", at positions 28 to 1381 of the family's 1533-position model. The record is from RNAcentral.